This 229-nucleotide ribosomal RNA is filed under the name uncultured bacterium. Its description in RNAcentral is "partial 16S ribosomal RNA". It matches the Rfam family "Bacterial small subunit ribosomal RNA", at positions 118 to 347 of the family's 1533-position model. The record is from RNAcentral.
UGAGCAAUGUGCCCUUGACUCUGGGAUAAGCGCUGGAAACGGCGUCUAAUACUGGAUACGACCAUCGGAGGCAUCUCCUGGUGGUGGAAAGAACUUCGGUCAAGGAUCAGCUCACGGCCUAUCAGCUAGUUGGUGAGGUAAUGGCUCACCAAGGCGACGACGGGUAGCCGGCCUGAGAGGGUGACCGGCCACACUGGGACUGAGACACGGCCCAGACCUNUACGGGAGG